Tinamus guttatus (white-throated tinamou) is the source of this 224-nucleotide non-coding RNA. Lineage: Eukaryota; Metazoa; Chordata; Aves; Tinamiformes; Tinamidae. The record is from RefSeq and is a predicted model, not a curated record.
GGAUCGCUGGAUGUUAAAGUUUCUGAUACAAGCAACCAUCAGGAUGCUGUGACAAUAUGCACUUUGGGAAUAGGAACUGCUUUUGGAGAGUCCAUUCUGGAUAACACUCCUCGCCAUGCUACCAUCGUUACUAGAGAAUAUAGUGAGCUCCUUCGAAUUGAGCAGAAGGAUUUUAAAGCACUUUGGGAGAUUCCAAAAUUAGAUCAAGUCACGUUUCCUCAUGG